Molecule: ribosomal RNA, 309 nt
Filed under: Triticum aestivum (bread wheat)
Lineage: Eukaryota; Viridiplantae; Streptophyta; Magnoliopsida; Poales; Poaceae
Description: partial small subunit ribosomal RNA
Source: RNAcentral
AUGAGGCGAUCUGGCUCUGCAGAUAGGCUCGUGCCAUCGAUCAUGUGCCAAAGUUGGAGGUAUUGCCCGAUCUGGUGGAUGUCGACCGUGCCUUGGAUGUCCCGCGCCCAUCGGUUGGCCUCCAACCCUUCCGCAACUGUCCUGAUCUUGCGACGGCAUUUGGGGAUGCAUGCGUAUAAAAGCGAAGCGAUCUCACGGAUGUACUGUACGGCAAUCCAACGGUCCUCCCAGAAGAGGGCCUCCGUGCCAUCCCAAGCUGCAUGGUGGUGGAGGCGAAGAAGAAUGUGUGCUCCUCAGCGGGAAUUGUAG